AAGAUGCUCCCUGCAUGGACCAUUGCUUGUGGGCACAACAAGGUGGCAGAAAGCAACUCAAAGAAUGAAAAGGCGUGACUUCUGGAGCUUCAGAAGACUCACGUGCGAUGUUCCUUGGACAAACCCCUGCCUUCCACGGUGGUGGCGGUCUCUCACCGUAGCUGUCACCUUUCUUAAGGCAGGUAGAGCAAAGCCUGACAGCUAGAUAUUGUUUGAACCAGGGGGAGCUCUUCCUGCUGCGCACGGUCAACUGUCACAGUA
Molecule: non-coding RNA, 261 nt
Organism: Pungitius pungitius (ninespine stickleback)
Lineage: Eukaryota; Metazoa; Chordata; Actinopteri; Perciformes; Gasterosteidae
Source: RefSeq, a predicted model, not a curated record